Molecule: ribosomal RNA, 486 nt
Filed under: uncultured bacterium
Lineage: Bacteria
Description: bacterial SSU rRNA
Rfam family: Bacterial small subunit ribosomal RNA
Source: RNAcentral
AGCGAACGUUUGCGGCGGGCCUAACACAUGCAAGUCGAACGCACUAGCAAUAGUGAGUGGCGCACGGGUGCGUAACACGUGGGUAAUCAACCCUUCAGCCUGGGAUAACGACUCGAAAGGGUCGCUAAUACCGGAUACGGCGCGGGAGGCUUCGGCUUCUCACGAGAAAGCCUCGCAAGGGGCACUGAAGGACGAGCCUGCGGCCCAUCAGCUAGUUGGUGAGGUAAGAGCUCACCAAGGCGAAGACGGGUAGCUGGUCUGAGAGGAUGAUCAGCCACACUGGAACUGAGACACGGUCCAGACUCCUACGGGAGGCAGCAGUGGGGAAUAUUGCGCAAUGGGCGAAAGCCUGACGCAGCCACGCCGCGUGAGCGAUGAAGGCCUUCGGGUCGUAAAGGCUCUGUGGGAGAGACGAAGAAAGACCCGUCGAAGAGCGGGCCGUUGACGGUAGUCUCCUUACGCAAGCACCGGCGUAACUACCGUGCC